GUGCCAGCCGCCGCGGUAAUACAGAGGGUGCGAGCGUUAAUCGGAGUUACUGGGCGUAAAGGGCGCGUAGGCGGUUGUUUAAGUGAGAUGUGAAAUCCCUGGGCUUAACCUAGGAACUGCAUCUCAUACUGGAUAGCUAGAGUAUUGUAGAGGGUAGUGGAAUUUCCGGUGUAGCGGUGAAAUGCGUAGAGAUCGGAAGGAACACCAGUGGCGAAGGNGGNUACCUGGGCAAAUACUGACGCUGAGGCGCGAAAGCGUGGGGAGCAAACA
RNAcentral lists this ribosomal RNA (270 nucleotides) under unidentified soil organism R6-135. Its description in RNAcentral is "partial 16S ribosomal RNA". It matches the Rfam family "Bacterial small subunit ribosomal RNA", at positions 505 to 774 of the family's 1533-position model. The record is from RNAcentral.